Cicer arietinum (chickpea) is the source of this 2721-nucleotide non-coding RNA. The record is from RefSeq and is a predicted model, not a curated record. NCBI's taxonomy places the organism in Eukaryota, Viridiplantae, Streptophyta, Magnoliopsida, Fabales, Fabaceae.
UCAAAAUCUGUAUGCUUUUCAUUUUUACCCAAAUUAAAAUCUCUUCUACUUCUACCAUUGUUUCACUCCUAUCAUAGACUCCUAUCGUAGAAUCCCAAUCAAACCCUAAUCGAGCAAUAGAACCCUAGCCAUGUCGAUUAGAAAAUUACAGCGAGCUUGCAUGCGGUAGUAUGAACAGUGGAGCUCACGAAGCUGCACUUGAUUCGUGGAUAGUGCAAUCACCGGAAGAGGAAGCGAACACAUCGACGAGACGAGGGUUCCAAACGGAGGAAUAGACACAGUAAGCGUGUUCUUUGAAACUGCGAACGGAAAUGGGACGAUCGAGAGUUUAUAAUUUGACGGUGUCAUCCCAUGAACCGGAGAGGAAAGAGUCACGGCAAACGGGGUUAAGCGGUGGCGACGGCUAUGGGGUUUUCGUAGAAUGGUCUGAACUUGACAGAGUAACCAUUGAAUGGGGUUUUGAAAACCGGCAUCAUUUUGAGAAUCGGAGUUUGGUCAGGUGAAAGAGUGAGUAUUAGGUGUUUGAUGUUAUGCGCCUGAGGGAAGAUGCAUAAGGAAAGAUGGGGCAACUAAAGCCACUGCAAAGUUUGAGCUGAACCCACCGCCAUAUCUGCUAAGAUCUAAAGUUUGUCAAAUACUCUGUUUACCUAUUAGAGUUAAUUGAAUUUCAAUUAAUCUAAAUUUGUCAUGGGGGAGUUGGGGACCUAUGCUUAUGAAACAUAGAAAUGGGGCUGUCUGUAUUUUCAAAUUUGAAUGUUUGCAAAAUUUUGGCAUGUAAGCUUUCAUCAAUAGAGAAAGUUAAAAAUUAAAGCAUUGAAGAACUCAAGCAUCUCAAUUAGAGUCAUUGUAAGGGCAAAGGCUUGUAACUUAACUAACAUAAAAUGACCUUACUGGGUUUUAGUAGAAACUGAAAAAACUUAACAAGCAUCUCCAUUGUUCUUUUGGAGCAUACUGAAGAAACUGUUUUUUAACACGAUUUCUGGAUGUUGACUUGCCAUCUAUCCAUUUGUUGGAAUCUCGUUUGAAAAUUUAUGAAUUUUGUAUCAUGUAGUGGCAUCUUUUUCCUGUGUCAAAAUUAUCAGAUCUUUAAAUCUGACUGCAUGCUGAGUUGCCCCAUUGUAAUAUAGAUACACCCAUGUGGUGGCACUCAGAGCACUCUUUUUCUAAUGAUUCAUAUAUUUCUCACAUUAUGCUUUCCUAAGUUCUACAAAUAUUCACAUUAUGUCUGGCAAGAUACUGCCUAAUGGAGUAGAAGUGCCUUCAUCUUUUGAAACAAUAGUCAAAUUUCCCACUUGUACCUACAUGAUGAAUUGCUUCUCUUCAAAGAUGUUAUUGUGAAGGUUAUUUAUGAUGUAUGUAUGACUACUUUAAGUAUUUGAGCUUGAGUUUUAUCUCCUUAUUCCCAAUAAAGAGCUGCCUCUGUAUAUUUACUGCUACUUGGUGCACUAGUCUUGUUUAAUCACUAAUACUAGAUACAACGAUGCUUUGAUAGUCUUCACUGAACUGUGUCUUUUUAAUCACUUUUAGUUUGGAACAUUCAGCAUUUUCCCAUCUUCUGUUUAGGGAUAUAAAUGUAGUUUUUGUCACAAUAUAAAAAAGUCCUCUUUAGAUCCCUGUUUACGACCCUUUUUUCUUGACCUGGCUUUGUUAAAGUUGUAUAAACUUUUAGAAUUAGGCAUUAAAAUCUUUGCUCCUGUAAGACCUCACACAACUACUAAAGGAGAGGAAUUUGGAAUGUCAAGGGUUGUGGGGAAAGGUGUUAAUUCUUUAGGAAUAAGCAUAUAGAAGGGAGAGAGAAGGAUCUGGGGGAGUUAGUCAAGAAUUGAGUAAGCUAAAAAGGUUCGGUUAUCAAUGUAGUGGCAGAGUUUGAGACAUAGUAAUCAUAUAAAAGAUGGUAAGAGCAGUAACUGAUAAUGGAAUCCGUAGCAGAAAGAAAUCAUCAAGAGGUCACCACAGAUUUGUAGGAGUUCUUCAAAGACCAUCAGGAAGAUGGGUGGCAGAGAUCAAAGACUCUAUACAGCUGAAGAUGCAGCUCGUGCUUAUGACACUGUUGCAUGAGCUUUAAGAGGUGCUAAUGCAUGAACAAACUUUGAUUUGCCACAAGCUGCAACCAGUGGUGUUGGUGGUGGUGCCAAACGUGGUGCUAGUUCAACUUUCAAGAUGGAAAACACUGAACCCUUUUCUUUUGAGGAUGUAAAUGAAUCUGGGUUAGAUUCAAAUUGUUUUCUUGGUGCACUAAAAGCAAAACAUUUUGAUGGAAAAGAAGAGAAGUUUUUUUCAUUUCCUUUUCAUAAUUCUGUUCUUGUUGUUCAAUCAAACAUGAACCAAGAGUAAAUAGUGCAAUUAACCAUAUAUGAUUUCUCUGAGUUACUUACAUUAGUGUGAGUUACUGAGUAUAAACUUGGUAUUUUGCUUAUACAUUACUGUGAAUUACUGAGUAUAAACCUUCUAAAUCUUGGGCUUGUUCUGUUUGAGGCCUAAUAGAGGAUCCCCCUCUUGUUCAGCCUUCUUCUUCCUAUUCUCUUGUUCACUCCUCUGCUCUAUAUUCGGUGUCCUAUUAGUGGUGUAGUUCAUAAUGAGUCUCUUGCUAUAUUAGAUUCUAUCCAAUUUGGUUGGAAUAGUUCAAUGUGUACUGAAAUAGAUGAACUACAUAUCUGAUAUUAGCUUUAUUAGCUUUUGUAUUUAUCUGCAUACAAUAAUACAUAUAAUAAUUUAGUUUUA